RNAcentral lists this ribosomal RNA (589 nucleotides) under uncultured bacterium. RNAcentral's name for it is "bacterial SSU rRNA". It matches the Rfam family "Bacterial small subunit ribosomal RNA", at positions 8 to 608 of the family's 1533-position model. The record is from RNAcentral.
AGAGUUUGAUCCUGGCUCAGGAUGAACGCUAGCGGCAGGCUUAAUACAUGCAAGUCAAGGGGGUAGCAAUACAACCGGCGCACGGGUGAGUAACGCGUACACAACAUGCCAUAUACUGGGGUAUAGCUUUGGGAAACUGAAGGUAAUCCCCCAUAGUAUUGCGGGUAGGCAUCUAUCUGCAAUUAAAGUUUCGACGGUAUAUGAUUGGUGUGCGUUCCAUUAGCUAGUUGGUAGGGUAACGGCCUACCAAGGCGACGAUGGGUAGCUGGCGUGAGAGCGCGACCAGCCACACUGGAACUGAGACACGGUCCAGACUCCUACGGGAGGCAGCAGUAGGGAAUAUUGGACAAUGGGCGAAAGCCUGAUCCAGCCACGCCGCGUGAUAGAUGAAGGCCCUCUGGGUUGUAAAUAUCUUUUAUCUGGGAAGAAACUCCUCUAUUCUUAGAGGCCUGACGGUACCAGAGGAAUAAGCACCGGCUAACUCCGUGCCAGCAGCCGCGGUAAUACGGAGGGUGCAAGCGUUAUCCGGAUUCACUGGGUUUAAAGGGUGCGUAGGCGGGUUGAUAAGUCAGUGGUGAAAGCUCCGGGC